RNAcentral lists this ribosomal RNA (253 nucleotides) under uncultured bacterium. RNAcentral's name for it is "partial 16S ribosomal RNA". It matches the Rfam family "Bacterial small subunit ribosomal RNA", at positions 524 to 776 of the family's 1533-position model. The record is from RNAcentral.
UACGUAGGGGGCUAGCGUUGUUCGGAAUUACUGGGCGUAAAGAGCGCGUAGGCGGUCUUGUAAGUCAGAUGUGAAAGCUCCGUGAGCAACCCGGGAAUAGCAUUUGAUACUGCGAGGAUUGGGUCCGGGAGAAGAUGGCGGAAUUCCCAGUGUAUAGGUGAAAUUCGUAUUUAUUGGGAAGAACACCGGUGGCGAAGGCGGCCAUCUGGACCGGUACUGACGCUGAGGCGCGAAAGCGUGGGGAGCAGACAGG